This is a non-coding RNA of Coniochaeta sp. 2T2.1, 104 nucleotides long. Lineage: Eukaryota; Fungi; Ascomycota; Sordariomycetes; Coniochaetales; Coniochaetaceae. The record is from the annotation of a GenBank genome assembly.
GGACAGAUGGCCGAGCGGUCUAAGGCGCUACGUUCAGGUGCAGUUUCGACUCCUCCCGAUUCGUAGUCUCGCAAGAGGCGUGGGUUCGAAUCCCACUCUGUUCA